UGGGGAAUAUUGCACAAUGGGCGAAAGCCUGAUGCAGCAACGCCGCGUGAGUGAUGAAGGCCUUCGGGUUGUAAAGCUCUGUCUUUUGGGACGAUAAUGACGGUACCAAAGGAGGAAGCCACGGCUAACUACGUGCCAGCAGCCGCGGUAAUACGUAGGUGGCAAGCGUUGUCCGGAUUUUACUGGGCGUAAAGGAUGCGUAGGCGGAUUUUUAAGUGAGAUGUGAAAUACCCGGGCUUAACUUGGGUGCUGCAUUUCAAACUGGGAAUCUAGAGUGCGGGAGAGGAGAAUGGAAUUCCUAGUGUAGCGGUGAAAUGCGUAGAGAUUAGGAAGAACACCAGUGGCGAAGGCGAUUCUCUGGACCGUAACUGACGCUGAGGCAUGAAAGCGUGGGUAGCAAACAGGAUUAGAUACCCUGGUAGUCCACGCCGUAAACGAUGAGUACUAGGUGUAGGAGGUAUCGACCCCUUCUGUGCCGCAGUUAACACAAUAAGUACUCCGCCUGGGAAGUACGAUCGCAAGAUUAAAACUCAAAUGAAUUGACGGGGUCAUAGCUGUUUUUCC
RNAcentral lists this ribosomal RNA (564 nucleotides) under uncultured bacterium. RNAcentral describes it as "partial 16S ribosomal RNA". It matches the Rfam family "Bacterial small subunit ribosomal RNA", at positions 355 to 939 of the family's 1533-position model. The record is from RNAcentral.